Molecule: ribosomal RNA, 197 nt
Filed under: uncultured bacterium
Lineage: Bacteria
Description: partial 16S ribosomal RNA
Rfam family: Bacterial small subunit ribosomal RNA
Source: RNAcentral
ACGCUCGACACCUACGGGAGCAGCAGUGGGGGAUAUUGCGCAAUGGGGGAAACCCUGACGCAGCAACGCCGCGUGAAGGAGGAAGGCCUUCGGGUUGUAAACUUCUUUAAGUGUGGAAGAAGAAGACGGUACACACAGAAUAAGCCACGGCUAACUACGUGCCAGCAGCUGCGGUAAUCUGAGCGGGCUGGCAAGGC